RNAcentral lists this ribosomal RNA (172 nucleotides) under Escherichia coli. RNAcentral's name for it is "partial 16S ribosomal RNA". It matches the Rfam family "Bacterial small subunit ribosomal RNA", at positions 1 to 164 of the family's 1533-position model. The record is from RNAcentral. Lineage: Bacteria; Pseudomonadati; Pseudomonadota; Gammaproteobacteria; Enterobacterales; Enterobacteriaceae.
UUAAAUUGAAGAGUUUGAUCAUGGCUCAGAUUGAACGCUGGCGGCAGGCCUAACACAUGCAAGUCGAACGGUAACAGGAAACAGCUUGCUGUUUUGCUGACGAGUGGCGGACGGGUGAGUAAUGUCUGGGAAACUGCCUGAUGGAGGGGGAUAACUACUGGAAACGGUAGCU